Molecule: ribosomal RNA, 466 nt
Filed under: uncultured bacterium
Lineage: Bacteria
Description: partial 16S ribosomal RNA
Rfam family: Bacterial small subunit ribosomal RNA
Source: RNAcentral
GAUGAACGCUGGCGGCGUGCUUAACACAUGCAAGUCGAACGAUGAAGCCCAGCUUGCUGGGUGGAUUAGUGGCGAACGGGUGAGUAACACGUGAGUAACCUGCCCUUAACUCUGGGAUAAGCCUGGGAAACUGGGUCUAAUACCGGAUAGGAGCGUCCACCGCAUGGUGGGUGUUGGAAAGAUUUAUCGGUUUUGGAUGGACUCGCGGCCUAUCAGCUUGUUGGUGAGGUAAUGGCUCACCAAGGCGACGACGGGUAGCCGGCUUGAGAGGGUGACCGGCCACACUGGGACUGAGACACGGCCCAGACUCCUACGGGAGGCAGCAGUGGGGAAUAUUGCACAAUGGGCGAAAGCCUGAUGCAGCGACGCCGCGUGAGGGAUGACGGCCUUCGGGUUGUAAACCUCUUUCAGUAGGGAAGAAGCGAAAGUGACGGUACCUGCAGAAGAAGCACCGGCUAACUACGUG